AUAAAUAUCAAAUUAUACAUGAAAUAUAUAGAAAAUUGCAAUGGAGAAGAAACGAACAGGCAAAAUACAUGCUCCGUUGACCUACCUUGAUCACUAUGACAGGAGGAUAUGAGCUCUGGAAGUGUUACCGUAGAUGCUAAAACACAUGGUUGGCCACACUCCGUUCAAAAAUUCACGAAGGUAAGUUCAGGUGGAGCCAGCAAAAUGAACAUAAAAAUGACCGGUUGAAUUGGGAGAAGUUGAUGAGGCCAAAAGAAAAAGGUGGCCUGGGAUUUUGAGACCUGCAUAAUUUCAAUCUUGCUAUGUUAGUUGUUAGGUUAGGGCAUCAGGCUGUUAGUUGUUAGGUUAGGACAUCAGGCUUAAGAGCCUCUGUUGUCACUCCAGUGGCCGGAACAGAUACAUGUCCACCCUUUGUUGUCACCCUAAUGUCAGUUUGGGUCUUGCGGACAUGCAAACCUAGUCUGCAAAAUUUCUUUUCUGAGGCAAGCCAUGUCAUUUGAGACCACAUUCACAUUACAUUUACAUAAAUAUAUUUUUGUGGCACCAGAGACAAAUGGGCACCAGAAACAAAUAGAAUGCGUGGUAGACAUUGCUCAACUUACAUUAGUCAGAUCAAGCUGAAAAUGUUUGAGAAACAUACAUGGCCUCGAAGAAAGAUUUAGACUUACUAUCUGACAUUUUGUACAUACUCCAGAGCAAGGAAAAAACAUAAAAAAGAAGAAGA
Long non-coding RNA from Sorghum bicolor (sorghum), 724 nucleotides. RefSeq lists it as uncharacterized. The transcript has 2 exons. NCBI's taxonomy places the organism in Eukaryota, Viridiplantae, Streptophyta, Magnoliopsida, Poales, Poaceae. The record is from RefSeq and is a predicted model, not a curated record.